RNAcentral lists this unclassified non-coding RNA (432 nucleotides) under uncultured cyanobacterium. RNAcentral describes it as "partial contains 16S ribosomal RNA and 16S-23S ribosomal RNA intergenic spacer". The stretch from base 1 to 104 matches the Rfam family "Bacterial small subunit ribosomal RNA", at positions 1434 to 1533 of the family's 1533-position model. The record is from RNAcentral. Lineage: Bacteria; Bacillati; Cyanobacteriota.
UCCAACCUUUUCGGAGGAGGGGGACGCCGAAGGCAGGGCUGAUGACUGGGGUGAAGUCGUAACAAGGUAGCCGUACCGGAAGGUGUGGCUGGAUCACCUCCUUUUAAGAGACCUACUUCAUUAAGACUGAACCCAAUUGUUAUUAAGUCUGAGGGAAGUCAUCUUAAGGUCGAGCAAAGAUUGGAGUGUGGCUUUCAAACGAGUCUGGUUCGUUUACAAAAAAACUGGAAAUAUUAUGCCAAACAGCUUCAGCAACUUAUUCAGGUAAUUUCAUACUGAAAAGCCUGCUGAAUUGGUAUUCAGCAAAGAACCUUGAAAACUGCAUAGAGAAAAGUCAGGUAGUCAAAUGAUUGUGAUGGAUAGUCAUGAUGAUUUGAGACAGACACCAAUGUGAAAGAGUCAUAGUGGUCAAGCUAAGAAGGGCUCAUGGUG